Molecule: ribosomal RNA, 253 nt
Filed under: uncultured bacterium
Lineage: Bacteria
Description: partial 16S ribosomal RNA
Rfam family: Bacterial small subunit ribosomal RNA
Source: RNAcentral
UACAGAGGUCUCAAGCGUUGUUCGGAUUCAUUGGGCGUAAAGGGUGCGUAGGCGGUUUGUCGCGUCUGCUGUGAAAACUCGGGGCUUAACCCCGGGCCUGCAGUGGGUACGGGCAGACUAGAGUGCGGUAGGGGAGACUGGAAUUCCUGGUGUAGCGGUGAAAUGCGCAGAUAUCAGGAGGAACACCGGUGGCGAAGGCGGGUCUCUGGGCCGUAACUGACGCUGAGGAGCGAAAGCGUGGGGAGCGAACAGG